RNAcentral lists this ribosomal RNA (229 nucleotides) under uncultured bacterium. RNAcentral's name for it is "partial 16S ribosomal RNA". It matches the Rfam family "Bacterial small subunit ribosomal RNA", at positions 104 to 334 of the family's 1533-position model. The record is from RNAcentral.
CGGGGUGAGUAAUGUAUGGGGAUCUGCCUGAUGGCGGGGGAUAACUACUGGAAACGGUAGCUAAUACCGCAUAAUGUCUGCGGACCAAAGCGGGGGACCUCCGGGCCUCGCGCCAUCAGAUGAACCCAUAUGGGAUUAGCUUGUAGGUAAGGUAACGGCUUACCUAGGCGGCGAUCCCUAGCUGGUCUGAGAGGAUGAUCAGCCACACUGGGACUGAGACACGGCCCAG